RNAcentral lists this unclassified non-coding RNA (345 nucleotides) under soil metagenome. RNAcentral describes it as "partial contains 5.8S ribosomal RNA, internal transcribed spacer 2, and large subunit ribosomal RNA". The stretch from base 1 to 121 matches the Rfam family "5.8S ribosomal RNA", at positions 35 to 154 of the family's 154-position model. The record is from RNAcentral.
GAUGGAGAACGCAGCGAAAUGCGAUAAGUAAUGCGAAUUGCAGAAUUUCCGUGAGUCAUCGAAUCUUUGAACGCACAUUGCGCCCACUGGUAUUCCGGUGGGCAUGCCUGUUCGAGCGUCAUUAUCCUCCCUCAAACCCCGGGUUUGGUGUUGGACCCAAGUUGUGUGAACAACUGGUCUCAAAGACAAUGACGGCGUCCGUGGGACCCUCGGUGCAACGAGCUUUUAGGAGCACGCAUCGAGUUGCAAGGACCUUCCGGGCCGGUCUCCUUUACCAUUUUACAAGGUUGACCUCGGAUCAGGUAGGAAUACCCGCUGAACUUAAGCAUAUCAAUAAGCGGAGGA